Molecule: ribosomal RNA, 419 nt
Filed under: uncultured Acholeplasma sp.
Lineage: Bacteria; Bacillati; Mycoplasmatota; Mollicutes; Acholeplasmatales; Acholeplasmataceae
Description: bacterial SSU rRNA
Rfam family: Bacterial small subunit ribosomal RNA
Source: RNAcentral
AGGGAAUUUUCGGCAAUGGGGGGAACCCUGACCGAGCAACGCCGCGUGAAUGACGAAGUACUUCGGUAUGUAAAGUUCUUUUAUUAAGGAAGAAAGUGCAGUGGAAAAGCUGUAUUGACGGUACUUAUUGAAUAAGCCCCGGCUAACUAUGUGCCAGCAGCCGCGGUAAUACAUAGGGGGCAAGCGUUAUCCGGAAUUAUUGGGCGUAAAGGGUGCGUAGGCGGCCUAUUAAGUUUAAGGUGUAAGUGCAAGGCUCAACCUUGUGAUGCUUUAGAAACUGGUAGGCUAGAGGACAGUAGAGGCAAGUGGAAUUCCAUGUGUAGCGGUAAAAUGCGUAAAUAUAUGGAGGAACACCAGUGGCGAAGGCGACUUGCUGGGCUGUGACUGACGCUGAGGCACGAAAGCGUGGGGAGCAAACA